CCUAAUCGCUUCUGCAAGUCGCUCUGGAUAAGAGCGUCUGCUAAAUGACUAAAA
Non-coding RNA from Salmo salar (Atlantic salmon), 54 nucleotides. The record is from Rfam. Lineage: Eukaryota; Metazoa; Chordata; Actinopteri; Salmoniformes; Salmonidae.